CAAAAACAUAACUAUAUGUGCUCAUAUAUAGCAAUUUCUGCUCAAUGAGAAAUUUAAAUAGCCGCAGUACUUUGACUGUGCAAAGGUAGCAUAAUCAAUUGACUUAUAAUUAAAGUCUGGAAUGAAUGAAUAUAUGGGGGAAAACUGUUUCCUAUAGACGUAUGGAAUUUAUUUUAAAAGUGCAAAUACUUUUACAUAUAUAUAAGACGAGAAGACCCUAGAAAUUUUUGUAAAGUAAAAUUUCUUUAGUAUAUUUUGUUGGGGCGACAAAGUAACAUAUAACUUACUGUUAUUUACUUGCAUAUUGUUUUAUGGAAGAUAAAAUUACUCUAGGGAUAACAGCAUAAUAUUUUAAAGUUUGUGACCUCGAUGUUGGAUUAGGAAAGAUAGGUGUUUAGAAGAUUCUUAUCUAUGCCCUGUUCGAGCAAAUUUC
RNAcentral lists this ribosomal RNA (433 nucleotides) under Vespericola sp. 2 MG-2018. Its description in RNAcentral is "partial large subunit ribosomal RNA". Lineage: Eukaryota; Metazoa; Mollusca; Gastropoda; Stylommatophora; Polygyridae. The record is from RNAcentral.